CGCGGAGCCAGCUCAGCGCCAGGUCCUGAAGCACCGCGGGGUUGAGCAGAGACGCCGCCAUUGACCCUGUAUGCGCACGCGCUGUCGAGUAGUCACUGAAGGUGCACGUACUGGCUGCGUCACAGACUUCCGUCGCGCUACAAGAGGGACGUUGUUCUAAAAGUGUCGUCGAGAACAAGUUCCACGGAACGAAAGUUUCUGCCAGCAGCGCUAGCGUCACAACCAUCUACCCUCUCUGACCUUGCGAGGACUCUCUCAAGAAUCAAAAGAAGAGAGAAAAAAAAAUAAAUAAAGGUUACUGAACGUCCUGGCAA
Dermacentor andersoni is the source of this 314-nucleotide non-coding RNA. The record is from RefSeq and is a predicted model, not a curated record. NCBI's taxonomy places the organism in Eukaryota, Metazoa, Arthropoda, Arachnida, Ixodida, Ixodidae.